RNAcentral lists this ribosomal RNA (465 nucleotides) under uncultured bacterium. Its description in RNAcentral is "partial 16S ribosomal RNA". It matches the Rfam family "Bacterial small subunit ribosomal RNA", at positions 28 to 507 of the family's 1533-position model. The record is from RNAcentral.
GACGAACGCUGGCGGCGUGCUUAACACAUGCAAGUCGUACGGUAAGGCCCUUUCGGGGGUACACGAGUGGCGAACGGGUGAGUAACACGUGAGUAACCUGCCCACAACUUUGGGAUAACUCUAGGAAACUGGUGCUAAUACUGGAUAUGUGCUCCUGCUGCAUGGUGGGGGUUGGAAAGCUCCGGCGGUUGUGGAUGGACUCGCGGCCUAUCAGCUUGUUGGUGGGGUAGUGGCCUACCAAGGCGGCGACGGGUAGCCGGCCUGAGAGGGUGACCGGCCACAUUGGGACUGAGAUACGGCCCAGACUCCUACGGGAGGCAGCAGUGGGGAAUAUUGCACAAUGGGCGCAAGCCUGAUGCAGCAACGCCGCGUGCGGGAUGACGGCCUUCGGGUUGUAAACCGCUUUCAGCAGGGACGAAGCUUUUUGUGACGGUACCUGCAGAAGAAGCACCGGCUAACUACGUG